Molecule: transfer RNA, 77 nt
Filed under: Bacteroides sp.
Lineage: Bacteria; Pseudomonadati; Bacteroidota; Bacteroidia; Bacteroidales; Bacteroidaceae
Also listed under: 1 other name
Description: tRNA-Pro
Rfam family: tRNA
About the family: Transfer RNA (tRNA) molecules are approximately 80 nucleotides in length. Their secondary structure includes four short double-helical elements and three loops (D, anti-codon, and T loops).
Source: RNAcentral
CGGGGUGUAGCGCAGCUUGGUAGCGCAUCUGCUUUGGGAGCAGAGGGUCGGGAGUUCAAAUCUCUUCACCCCGACCA